GAGAAACGCAAGCAAACAAACCGGGAUCAGAAGGUGACGCCUCUCUGGCCACACGUCUUAAGGUCACGACUUCUAAUCCCAGCUCCCUCUUAUUUCUGGAAGCAGUGGUAGAAACAUGUAAAAUGCAAGUAGAACUUUAGAGCUGAAAGGUACAUUAGCAUCCCACCUGGUUUGGAGGACAGUUACCAUCUACCGGAAAACACGAAGGCCCCUUCAUGCAAGCACCCAGGACUCACAGAGAUUUCACUGUCCAUGAGUCCUGCCACUAGUCUGCCUUCUCACACUUACCAAACCCAGGCAGAUGUGCCUUGGGCACUGGAAGGAAAACAUCCCUCGGGUCCCGCCCAGUUGUUCCGGCUUUAUCACAGUGACUGCUGACAAAGCCUUUACUUCACAAAGCAACAAAGCACACAGCAGCCAAAAAAUCCAGUGAAAUCAGGAUCUUGGAAAGGAUGUAAGGAAGCAAGACUUGUGCACAGGGGACUUGUCACUCAUUCAGUUCUACCCCACAGGGGGGCAAUGAGGGAGGUUUGGCUCCUGGAAGAGGCUAAGUGCAGGAAUGCUGGAUUCUGCUCUCAGCCUGCCUGGGGUCCACAACCUUGCCUGAACUCUGCAGCCGGAAUUUCCUCACUGGCCCUAAAGAAGGGCUUGUCAGUAGCUGAACAGAAUGCUAAAUCGGCAAUUGUGUAUAGGAAACCACAUAAUAAAGCUAGUAAAAAGGAAAUGAGAGAUCAACCAUAAAUAAAGAUUCCCUGA
Molecule: long non-coding RNA, 756 nt
Organism: Pan troglodytes (chimpanzee)
Lineage: Eukaryota; Metazoa; Chordata; Mammalia; Primates; Hominidae
Exons: 3
Source: RefSeq, a predicted model, not a curated record